This 429-nucleotide ribosomal RNA is filed under the name Verrucomicrobiota bacterium. Its description in RNAcentral is "Verrucomicrobia bacterium partial 16S ribosomal RNA". It matches the Rfam family "Bacterial small subunit ribosomal RNA", at positions 355 to 776 of the family's 1533-position model. Lineage: Bacteria; Pseudomonadati; Verrucomicrobiota. The record is from RNAcentral.
UAGGGAAUCUUCCGCAAUGGACGAAAGUCUGACGGAGCAACGCCGCGUGAGUGAAGAAGGAUUUCGGUUCGUAAAACUCUGUUGUUAGGGAAGAAAAAAUGUAUAGUAACUAUAUACAAAAGAGACGGUACCUAACCAGAAAGCCACGGCUAACUACGUGCCAGCAGCCGCGGUAAUACGUAGGUGGCAAGCGUUGUCCGGAAUUAUUGGGCGUAAAGCGCGCGCAGGUGGUUUAGAAAGUCUGGUGUGAAAGCCCACGGCUCAACCGUGGAGGGUCAUUGGAAACUAAUAAACUUGAGUGCAGGAGAGAAAAGUGGAAUUCCUAGUGUAGCGGUGAAAUGCGUAGAGAUUAGGAGGAACACCGGUGGCGAAAGCGGCUUUUUGGCCUGCAACUGACACUGAGGCGCGAAAGCGUGGGGAGCAAACAGG